Long non-coding RNA from Engraulis encrasicolus (European anchovy), 443 nucleotides. RefSeq lists it as uncharacterized. The record is from RefSeq and is a predicted model, not a curated record. The transcript is spliced from 3 exons. NCBI's taxonomy places the organism in Eukaryota, Metazoa, Chordata, Actinopteri, Clupeiformes, Engraulidae.
CGCUCCAUAAAGAAGUCCAGUCGCUAGCAUAACUAACACGAAAUUGAUUAAACAACAUCACAUUAUUAUCUUUAAGGGAGAUUUCGCAUUAAGAAUGCCAGUAUGGAGAUGCUUGUAAACGGUGUGUUCUACUUGGUGGCGGAGUAGCAUUAGUUGUGGAGGGAGUAACACGCCGACUGACUACCAACUUGGACUGCUACAAAGUGUGAAUUGUGUAUUUCGUUUGGAGUUGUGGGACGCUGGGACGUUCGGAACAGGUGUGGUGGCAGACCAGGCACUUGGUGAGCACAAGACACAAACAAACACACAAACAGACGACAGAAGAGAUGAAGAGGGAGCAGAGGUGAUUCUAAGUUUGGUUCCAUAACUGGACAGAGAAGAGAAGAGAAGAGAAGAGAAGAGAAGAGAAGAGAAGAGAAGAGAAGAGAAGAGAAGAGAAGAGA